CUGCCGCUAGGUAGGUGGGCCCUAGAAGGCGGGGCCUGAUGCGGGACUUUGUGGAGAAGUUGGGCUUGCAGCCAAUUGACUGGGAUCCCACCCCGGCUGCUGGGGGCACUACCUAUGAGUAAAUGUAAGAUGUAACGGGGGUCUUCCCUACACUCCAGUGCUAGGAAGGGCUAGGUAAACAGUCUUGACCCAGGAGACUCGCAGAACCGAAAUGUUAUCAAAGCAAGGAUCUCUCCGAGCUCUCUCAGAAGAGCAGAAAGCAAAGGAUACUCGGGAACAAAUUAAUAUAUUUCUAAUCCUGGCAGACUGGAAAGGCUGGAAACCAGUUCAAGGUACAGUCUACCAUGGCAAAGAGGUCACGGCAACAGGGUCUUGAAGCAGCCGUCACAGUCAGAAAACAGGAUGCACGCAUGCAUGCAAGUGUUGAGCUGGCCUUCCUCUUCAUAAUGCAGUCUUGAAACUACCUCAGAAAAUGGUGCAGCCCAGAGUGGCAGACAGAGUCUCCCCACCACAAUUAAGUUGAUCCUAGAUAGGCGUGCCCAACAUCAGGCUGACGGGUAGCACUAUCAGGGCCCCUCCUUAAAGGCUGGAUGAACGUGGUGGUGAAGGACUUUUGCUCGGCUACUUUUCCUCUCAGGCUCUGAUCUGGACUGAACCCUCACCGUCCAAUCAGAGUAGGAACCGUGUAAAGCAGGUGUGCUUUUCAGCCUUGUCUUACAGGCAGCGAAGCUGACCCACAGGCAGAUGUUCCAAGGAUCUGAUGAUGCUCAGUGUGAAGCAGGGGCUUGGCCUGACCUUGCCUUAAUAGGUACUCUUGUUCUUCAGGGUUUUUCCACCUAAAACCUGAUGUGUGCCUCAGUGGUUGACUGUAGCUUGAUGUCGGUAAGGCGUGGAGCUAAGAUUUCACCCUGGACAAUGUAGCUCCACGUCAGCAACCUUAACACGGAUGUCAAGUCGUCUCCACUCUCCAUCAAGGCGGGGGAGUCUUCAAGCUGCCCCAGAGCCUGUCCUUAUCUGGCCUUUGAGCAAGUAAUCUGUCGGCUCCUGUAAAACUGCACAGCAUCCCAGGGCCACAGCACCUCCAUUCUUAAUGGCAAUCUCAAUGUGUUAGGCAAGUCUAUUUUCCUGACAUAGAGGAAACUGUCAGCAUUAGGGUGACAGUUUAAGACUCACACAAAGCCUGCAGCACAGGGCAUCAUCCCCUUCUAGAAUCACAUGGCCAUCCUUACCUGGUAUUGAAGAGUAGGUCCUCCAGCCUACCUCACACCCAUCUUUCCCUUCCAUAAGGAGUAGGUUUCAAAGCCAGGAAUUGUGGCACAUGUCCUCAGUACCAGCAUUCAGGAAGCAGAGGCA
This is a long non-coding RNA of Mus caroli (Ryukyu mouse), 1353 nucleotides long. RefSeq lists it as uncharacterized. The record is from RefSeq and is a predicted model, not a curated record. NCBI's taxonomy places the organism in Eukaryota, Metazoa, Chordata, Mammalia, Rodentia, Muridae.